UACGGAAGGCAGCAGUGGGGAAUAUUGCACAAUGGGCGCAAGCCUGAUGCAGCCAUGCCGCGUGUAUGAAGAAGGCCUUCGGGUUGUAAAGUACUUUCAGUCGUGAGGAAGGUGUUAAGGUUAAUAACCUUAGCAAUUGACGUUAGCGACAGAAGAAGCACCGGCUAACUCCGUGCCAGCAGCCGCGGUAAUACGGAGGGUGCGAGCGUUAAUCGGAAUUACUGGGCGUAAAGGGCACGCAGGCGGUUAAUUAAGUUGGAUGUGAAAUCCCCGGGCUUAACCUGGGAAUGGCAUUCAAGACUGGUUAGCUAGAGUCUUGUAGAGGGGGUAGAAUUCCAUGUGUAGCGGUGAAAUGCGUAGAGAUGUGGAGGAAUACCGGUGGGCGAAGGCGGCCCCCUGGGACAAAGACUGACGCUCAUGUGCGAAAGCGUGGGGAGCAACAGGGAUUAGAUACC
Molecule: ribosomal RNA, 455 nt
Filed under: uncultured bacterium
Lineage: Bacteria
Description: bacterial SSU rRNA
Rfam family: Bacterial small subunit ribosomal RNA
Source: RNAcentral